This 1622-nucleotide long non-coding RNA is filed under the name Hordeum vulgare. Its description in RNAcentral is "long non-coding RNA (HVUL_LNC005508)". The record is from RNAcentral. Lineage: Eukaryota; Viridiplantae; Streptophyta; Magnoliopsida; Poales; Poaceae.
AUCUCCACCGCACCACCUCUCGCUUCCAAUGGCGCCGCCGUCGCGUCCUUUCAAUGGAGCUAAAGGGGACAUCACCGGCGACCAGCCGAGCCUUAUGGGGAUGCUCCUCUGCUCUCUCCCUAACUCGCGGAUGUCCUCUUCAGCUCCUGCUCCGCGGCAACAGUCAAGGGGAAUAGCCGGAGACGAGCCGAGCCCUGCGUGACUGCUCCCUUCCCAAUCCCAGCGACGACCUCUUCGGCCUCUGCUCCCCCGCUUCCUCCUCUUCUCCCCCCAGGUAUGCAAACUCCUCUCCCAGAUUAGCUCAGGAUGUAAAUGGCACUGGGCUCUGGAUAUGUGCUCGUGUGAUGAAUCUGCUUGACUGCACGGUGAAUGGUAGAUAGCAAUAUCAUCCGAAUUACUUGUGUUUUGCUUUACUUGUACUAGCACACGAAUCAGUUAUAAGACAGUGAUGAUCUUUUUAUACGGAAACAGUUAGAAAGGUCUAUGAAAGGGUGAGAUCUUGUGUUUUGCUAUGUUGUGUUGAAAUCAGUUAUGUAUGCACCUUCAGUCUAUCUAUCUGUAAUCCAUAUCAAUUCAUCUUUGAAUUAGUAGCACCUGGAUACACACAGUGUUUCAGAAUUGUUCGCCGACUCAGCGUCCAAAUUUUGCUUCAAGGAUAAUCUCGAGAUGCAUUUGAUUCAAACUUGUUUCUAGGGCUGUAAGUAGAUGUGUGAUUAUUUCAUGGAACAGCUAGCUAGUACUGAAGAUUGUGGAGAUGAGGGUGGGACGGUCCGCUGAAUUCCUGACAUAUAAGUAGUUAGAGUAAUGGACUGUAUUUUUGGUCAUACAUGUCUCAAGGUUGCCUGAAAAUAUAAUCUAAUUCAAGUGUGCAAUUUAUAUUUCUCGACUCAGAUUCACACUGUUUGAAUUUGUUUUGCUGUUUAAAUCUUUUGUAAAAAAUUGUCCAAACCUGUCGACGCGACUAUAGAAGUAGACUGAACAACAAGACUGUCGAAGCCUUGAUCUGCCUCCAAAAUUGGUAUAGAUCUGAUGUUCAAUGUCUAGAUUCUAGAAUAUAUUUACCGAACUUGAAUUUUCUUUCCAUGCUUCUAAGCAAGUACGUGAAAACUGAAAAAGAGAAAGAUUGAGUCUAUUUGCUCUGCUUGGCUGCACUAUUUGAGUCUUUGAGAGCAGUUAAUUUAGUUUCACUGCCCAGCAAAGUUUGAUAGGUAUAUUAAUACCUAUGAACUGUAGUUUAAUUGUGUGAACCAUGCCAACUUUUGCAGAUGCAGACUCAGGUUGAGGCAUACAUGAUAGGAUGGAAGAGUUGCUGGAGUGGUAGAUCGAAGCAUACAUUUCAUCUGCAAAAAAAUGUUUGAUUCAUGGUGCAAGUUGCUGUUGCUUUGUGGAUUUUGCUCUUUCUUCUACUAUGAAAGUAUGGAUUUUAUCCUGUAGUUUAAUUAUUAUCUGAGAGAGUGUAAGCUGCAGAUAAAUGUUUAAUCUCAAGAGAGAUUCGAAGUAUUUUUAUCUGAAAAAGUCUAUUUUGUUGCAGUAUAUGGACAAUAUUUUUAUCUCAGAAAGUAUAUUUUUUCUGAAGAGAGAUUUAGAGUAUUUUAAUAUGAGAAAGUAUGAAUGUUGCAGUA